RNAcentral lists this long non-coding RNA (2394 nucleotides) under Pan troglodytes (chimpanzee). RNAcentral's name for it is "long non-coding RNA NONPTRT012261". The record is from RNAcentral. Lineage: Eukaryota; Metazoa; Chordata; Mammalia; Primates; Hominidae.
GUUUCUAUCUCACAUUGGACAUAAGUAGAUUGCAAGAUUAAUGGAAAGUAGAAUAGUUAACUGACUUGCCUGAACAUAAAAGAGACAUUGAUUUGAAAACAAAACAUUUAUUCAUUUACUUUCGCUGCAGUUUUCUUGACUGCUGAAUUUCACGAGAAGGGAUUGUUCAGGGAGUGUCGUGGGGCUGAAGACCUGGAGAGGAGCUGUUGCUACCGCUGUUCAAAUCCGAGGGUGGUGGAGAUGGAGCCUUGGGGAGGAGCGGGUGCUGCCUUUUAAGUCUAUGAGAGUUGUUGAGCUGGACGUCCAGGGAGGAGCCGGUGCUGCCACUGACGUCUUAGGUUGUGGAGCUGAAGACAAUGAAGGAGCCAGUGUGGCUGUUCUUCUGUGAGGGUCGUGGAGCUGGAGAUCCAGGUGGGACAUGUGUUCUAGCUCGGGGAGCAGCUGAUGUUCUACCUUCAGGGCCCUGCAGCUGCAGACCCGGAGAGGAGCUGAUGUUCUAGUUUGAGGGUCUUGCAGCUGCAGAUCCGGAGAGGAGCUGAUGUUCUAGAUUGAGGGUCAUGCAGCUGAAGACUCGGGGAGGAGCUGAUGUUGUAGUUUGAGGGUCGUGCAGUUCAGGACUCGGGGUGGAGCUGAUGUUGUUCGCGUUGAGGGUCUUUCAGCUGGAGACUCGGAGGAGCUGAUAAUCUUGAAUGAGGGUCAUGGAGCUGGAGACCCGGACAGGAGCUGAUGUUCUAGUUAGUGGAUCUUCCAGCUGCAGACCCAGGGAGGAGCUGAUGUUCUAGUUUUAGGUUCUUGCAGCUGCAGACCCGGAGAGGAGCUGAUGUUCUAGAUUGAGGGUCAUGUAGCUGAAGACUUGGCGAGGAGCUGAUGUUGUAGUUUUAGGGUCAUGCAGUGGAGGACUCGGGGAGGAGCUGAUGUUGUUCACAUUGAGGGUCUUUCAGGUGGAGACUCGGGGAGGAGCUGAUGUUCUACUGUUAGGUUCUUGCAGCUGCAGACGCGGAGAGGAGCUGAUGUUCUAGAUUGAGGGUCGUGCAGCUGAACUCGGGGAGGAGCUGAAGUUGUAGUUUGAGGGUCGCGCUGUUGAAGACUCGGGGAGGAGCUAAUGUUGUUUGCGUUGAGAGUCUUUCAGCUGGAGACUCAGGGAGGAGCUGAUAAUCUUGAUUGUGGGUCAUGGAGCUGGAGACCCGGACAGGAGCUAAUGUGCUAGUUAGUGGAUCUUCUAGCUGCAGACACGGAGAGGAGCUGAUGUUCUAGAUUGAGGGUCAUGCAGCUGAAGACUCGGCGAGGAGCUGAUGUUGUAGUUUGAGGGUCAUGCAGUUGAGGACUCGGGGAGGAGCUGAUGUUGUUCACGUUGAGGGUCUUUCAGCUGGAGACUCAGGGAAGAGCUGGUAAUCUUGAUCGAGGGUCAUGGAGCUGCAGACCCGGCAGGAGCUGAUGUUCUAGUUAGUGGAUCUUCCAGCUGCAGACCCAGGGAGGAGCUGAUGUUCUAGUUUGAGGGUCGUGCAGCUGGAGACCUGGAUAGGAGCUGAUGUUCUAGAUUGAGGGUCGUGCAGCUGAAGACUCGGGGAGGAGCUGAUGUUCUCGUUUGAGGGUCAUGCAGCUGAAGACUCGGGGAGGAGCUGAGGUUCUAAUUUGGGGGUCAUGCAGCUGAAGACCCGGGGAGGAGCUGAGGUUCUAGAUUGAGGGUCUUGCAGCUGCAGACCCGGGGUGGAGCUGAUAUUCUAGUUUGAGGGUCUUGCAGCUGCAGAUUUGGAGAGGAGCUGAUGUUUUUGUUUGAGGGUCUUUCAGUUGGAGACUCAGGGAGGAGCUGAUGUUCUAGAUUUAGAGUCACGGAACUGGAGACCUGGAGAGAAGAUGAUGUUCUAGAUUGAGGGUCAUGCAGCUGCAGACCUGGAGAGGAGCUGAUGUUCUAGUUUGAGGGUCUUGCAGCUGCAGACCUGGAGAGGAGCUGAUGUUCUAGUUUGAGGGUCUUGCAGCUGCACACCUGUAGAGGAGCUGAUGUUCUAGAUUGAGGGUCAUGCAGGUGAAGACUCAGGGAGAAGCUGAUGUUCUAGUUUGAGGGUCUUGGAUCUGCAAACCUGGAGAGGAGCUGAUGUUCUAGAUUGAGGGUCGUGCAGCUGAAGACUCAGGAGGAGCUGAGGUUCUAGAUUAAGGGUUGUGCAGCUGAAGACUCGGGGAGGAGCUGAGGUUCUAGUUUGAGAGUCAUGCAGCUGAAGACUCGGGAGGAGCUGAUGUUCUAGAUUGAGGGCCCUACAGCUGCAGACCCGGAGAGUAUCUGAUGUUCGAGAUUGAGGGUCGUGCAGCUGAAGACUCCGGGAGGAGCUGAGGUGGCAAUUUGAGGGUCUUGCAGCUGCUGACUCGGGGAGGAGCUGAUGUUCUAGUUUGAGGGUCGUG